CCCCAGUAGUCUAAUGUUGGUCCUUCCUCAUCCAACACCUGAGUCCUAGCAUGAUCCUCCUACUGAUUAUCAAGACAAGGACAUCAGUAUGGAUAAGUUGCAUAUUCAGGAUAAUUUAAUAGAAAUAUUAUAUCCUUAUGAUAAUUAAGAUUUAAAUAUUAACUUUCAUAUUGAUUUUAUUUCAGGUCAUCAAUAAUUAAUAGUUCUGAAUAUGUUUUUUCCUCCAUUUGAGAGAGCGAGAAUGAGAUGCUAACCCACACGAGCAAGAGAUGUGUGGUAGCGAGCUGAGGGCAAGAGGAUCAUCGUCAAGUGCUACCAUAUGGGACAGCCUAUCAAAAGGGCCGGCAAC
Molecule: long non-coding RNA, 349 nt
Filed under: Elaeis guineensis (African oil palm)
Lineage: Eukaryota; Viridiplantae; Streptophyta; Magnoliopsida; Arecales; Arecaceae
Description: long non-coding RNA (EGUI_LNC032178)
Source: RNAcentral